GAUAACUGGCUUGUGGCAGCCAAGUAUUCAUAGAUAGCGACGUUGCUUUUUGAUCAGAUCCUUCGAUGUCGGCCGGCUCUUCCUAGCAUUGAGAAAUUGAGAGCAGAAGUCCCAAAGUGUCGGAUUGUUCACCCGCCAAUGGCCCGCCAAUAGGAAACGUCCUGACCUCUUCU
RNAcentral lists this non-coding RNA (173 nucleotides) under Symbiodinium microadriaticum. Its description in RNAcentral is "Eukaryotic large subunit ribosomal RNA". It matches the Rfam family "Eukaryotic large subunit ribosomal RNA", at positions 2825 to 2969 of the family's 3401-position model. Lineage: Eukaryota; Dinophyceae; Suessiales; Symbiodiniaceae. The record is from Rfam by way of RNAcentral.